This 86-nucleotide transfer RNA is filed under the name Roseivivax marinus. RNAcentral's name for it is "tRNA-Leu". It matches the Rfam family "tRNA". Rfam says of the family: Transfer RNA (tRNA) molecules are approximately 80 nucleotides in length. Their secondary structure includes four short double-helical elements and three loops (D, anti-codon, and T loops). Further hydrogen bonds mediate the characteristic L-shaped molecular structure. tRNAs have two regions of fundamental functional importance: the anti-codon, which is responsible for specific mRNA codon recognition, and the 3' end, to which the tRNAs corresponding amino acid is attached (by aminoacyl-tRNA synthetases). tRNAs cope with the degeneracy of the genetic code in two manners: having more than one tRNA (with a specific anti-codon) for a particular amino acid; and 'wobble' base-pairing, i.e. permitting non-standard base-pairing at the 3rd anti-codon position. RNAcentral also lists the same sequence under 3 other names. Lineage: Bacteria; Pseudomonadati; Pseudomonadota; Alphaproteobacteria; Rhodobacterales; Roseobacteraceae. The record is from RNAcentral.
GCCCGAGUGGCGGAAUGGUAGACGCAGGGGAUUCAAAAUCCCCCGGUGGCAACACCUUGUCGGUUCGAGUCCGACCUCGGGUACCA